Molecule: ribosomal RNA, 227 nt
Filed under: uncultured bacterium
Lineage: Bacteria
Description: partial 16S ribosomal RNA
Rfam family: Bacterial small subunit ribosomal RNA
Source: RNAcentral
CGCAGUGGCGGACGGGUGAGGAGCGCGUAAGGACCUGCCCCUGGGAGGGGGAUAACAGCUGGAAACGGCUGCUAAUACCCCAUAGCCUGAGGAGGGAAAGGAGAGAUCCGCCCAGGGAGGGGCUUGCGUCUGAUUAGCUAGUUGGGGGGGGUAAUGGCCUCCCAAGGCAACGAUCAGUAGCUGGUCUGAGAGGACGAGCAGCCACACUGGGAUUGAGAACGGCCCAG